GACGAACGCUGGCGGCGCGCCUAACACAUGCAAGUCGAACGAGCAAAGAGGAGCUUGCUUCUCUGAGCGAGUGGCGAACGGGUGAGUAACGCGUGAGGAACCUGCCUCAAAGAGGGGGACAACAGUUGGAAACGACUGCUAAUACCGCAUAAGCCCACGGGUCGGCAUCGACCAGAGGGAAAGGAGCAAUCCGCUUUGAGAUGGCCUCGCGUCCGAUUAGCUAGUUGGUGAGGUAACGGCCCACCAAGGCAACGAUCGGUAGCCGGACUGAGAGGUUGAACGGCCACAUUGGGACUGGGACACGGCCCAGACUCCUACGGGAGGCAGCAGUGGGGAAUAUUGCACAAUGGGGGAAACCCUGAUGCAGCGACGCCGCGUGAGUGAUGAAGUAUUUCGGUAUGUAAAAACUCUAUCAGCAGGGAANAUAAUGACGGUACCUGACUAAGAAGCACCGGCUAAAAUACGUG
This 467-nucleotide ribosomal RNA is filed under the name uncultured bacterium. RNAcentral describes it as "bacterial SSU rRNA". It matches the Rfam family "Bacterial small subunit ribosomal RNA", at positions 28 to 507 of the family's 1533-position model. The record is from RNAcentral.